This is a small nuclear RNA of Antechinus flavipes (yellow-footed antechinus), 105 nucleotides long. NCBI's taxonomy places the organism in Eukaryota, Metazoa, Chordata, Mammalia, Dasyuromorphia, Dasyuridae. The record is from RefSeq and is a predicted model, not a curated record.
UUAUUUUGAAUAUAUAUCUAUACUAAAAUGGAAAUGGUUUAGAGGAAACGAGCAUAGUCCCUGCAAAAGGAAGGCAACCACGUUUAUGGAACGCUCCACAUUUUU